This 253-nucleotide ribosomal RNA is filed under the name uncultured bacterium. RNAcentral describes it as "partial 16S ribosomal RNA". It matches the Rfam family "Bacterial small subunit ribosomal RNA", at positions 524 to 776 of the family's 1533-position model. The record is from RNAcentral.
UACGUAGGGUGCGAGCGUUGUCCGGAAUUAUUGGGCGUAAAGAGCUUGUAGGCGGUUUGUCGCGUCUGCCGUGAAAAUCCGAGGCUCAACCUCGGACUUGCGGUGGGUACGGGCAGACUAGAGUGUGGUAGGGGAGACUGGAAUUCCUGGUGUAGCGGUGAAAUGCGCAGAUAUCAGGAGGAACACCGAUGGCGAAGGCGGGUCUCUGGGCCACUACUGACGCUGAGAAGCGAAAGCAUGGGGAGCGAACAGG